GUCUUUCCCCAACAAGGAGUGGGUAUCUGUGGUGUUGGGUCCUCUUUUAAAAUCUUCUAAUUGAUCACAACCAGUUACAGAUUUCUUUGUUCCUUUUCCACUCACACUGCUUCACUUGACCAGCCUUUU
Molecule: small RNA, 129 nt
Filed under: Microcebus murinus (gray mouse lemur)
Lineage: Eukaryota; Metazoa; Chordata; Mammalia; Primates; Cheirogaleidae
Description: Y RNA (ENSMICG00000024273.3)
Source: RNAcentral